RNAcentral lists this microRNA (22 nucleotides) under Ornithorhynchus anatinus (platypus). RNAcentral describes it as "oan-miR-7423-3p". Lineage: Eukaryota; Metazoa; Chordata; Mammalia; Monotremata; Ornithorhynchidae. The record is from miRBase by way of RNAcentral.
UGGACAAGUGGAAAAGAAUGCC